This is a long non-coding RNA of Papilio xuthus (Asian swallowtail), 319 nucleotides long. RefSeq lists it as uncharacterized. NCBI's taxonomy places the organism in Eukaryota, Metazoa, Arthropoda, Insecta, Lepidoptera, Papilionidae. The transcript has 3 exons. The record is from RefSeq and is a predicted model, not a curated record.
UAAUAUUUUAUCAGCAAAAACUAUGUAACAUGGGAAGUACGCAUGUCAAUAUUUUUACCAAUUCAACAAAUUUACCGACCACUUGGGAAAUUCUCUGACGUAAAAAGAGCACUGGAGUUUACCUAAGAAAGUAUUUUUAAAAGGUUCGCCAUCCCUCAGGGAGAGUUUGGGAAGCAAGAUGAAUUACAUAAUUAAGAUAUUCCUUACCUGAAUACCUUCAUUCACUUGAGUUUAAGGUGUUUCAAGAGCGAGGACCCAUAGUUAAAAUUUUACGAGUUCUCACAUCACAUCUAGUGUGAGGAGUGGAUAAUAAAAAGGU